Drosophila nasuta is the source of this 399-nucleotide long non-coding RNA. RefSeq lists it as uncharacterized. Lineage: Eukaryota; Metazoa; Arthropoda; Insecta; Diptera; Drosophilidae. The transcript is spliced from 2 exons. The record is from RefSeq and is a predicted model, not a curated record.
UGUAAAUUUUUCUGUGAAGGCAGAUUAUGUAAUCAGCACAAUUACUAAUAUAUUAAUAUAUUGAAUUAGGAUGAUGAUACAAUACAUAUAGACUAGAUAAAUUAACACAUUAUGUGUAUUGGAUUAAAAAAGAUUGGACCAUUUAAGCGCCAAUGAUGUUUUACACAUUCUUUACAACCACGUAGAUCAGAAAUAUAAACUAGACUAAUAAUGGACAGUCAUGUCAAGUACAUCCAAGGACACUCAAGAGCUAGCGCCAUUCCAAGCAAUGACAAGUGGUCUUCACAUACUCGCAGUAGAUGUCACAAUUCUUGCAAGCCAAAACCAAAAUCAAUUGAAUCAAGUAGUAGUUACUAUUGUUGUUACAGAGGCCACUUAUACCCAUAAUACACACGACCC